Molecule: unclassified non-coding RNA, 240 nt
Filed under: soil metagenome
Description: partial contains 5.8S ribosomal RNA, internal transcribed spacer 2, and large subunit ribosomal RNA
Source: RNAcentral
AACGCACGAGACCUGCGGACCUGCGGAGGGAUCAUUACCGAGUUCUCGCCCCUCGCGGGGUAGACCUCCCACCCACUGUGAUCACUACCGUCGUUGCUUUGGCGGGCCGCUGGGCCCAGCCCACCGCCGGCUCCGGCUGGCGCGUGCCCGCCAGAGGCCCUACAAACGCUGGAUAUCAGUGCCGUCUGAGUACACAUGUUAAUCGUUAAAACUUUUAGCAACGGAUCUCUAGAUCGGAAG